GCGUAACGGUNGCGGACACGUUGUGGCACUUGCUUUAAUCUGGGGGAANAACUUUCCGAAAGGAGAUUAAUACCCCAUAAUAUGUUGAAUGGCAUCAUCGACAUUGAAAACUCCGGUGGGAUAGAAGAUUGGGCACGCGCCAAGAUUAGAUAGUUGGUGAGGGUAACGGGUUCACCAAGUCUACGAUCUUUAAGGGGGGCUGAAGAAGGGGUGAUCCCCCAAAACUGGGUUAACUGAGAACACGGGAACCAAGAUUCCUUAACGGGAAGGCAAGCAAGUUGGAAGGAAUUAUUUGGGCNCAAUGGGUUGAAGAAGCCUGAUCCAGCCAAUUCCCGCGUGAAAGGACGGAAUUGCCCUAUGGGGUUGUAAAACUUCUUUUGGUAUAGGGGAUAAAAACCUUAACCCUCGUGAAGGGUAAGCUGAAGGGUAACUAAUAACGGAAUUAAAGCACCGGGCUAACUUCCGGUGCCAAGCAGCCGCGGUAAAUACGGAAGGGUUGGCAAAGCCGUUUAAUCCGGGAUUUAUUGGGGUUUAAAGGGGUCCGUAAGGCGGGAUCUGUAAGUCCAGUGGGUUGAAAUCUCCACAGGCUUUAACCUGUUG
RNAcentral lists this ribosomal RNA (600 nucleotides) under uncultured bacterium. RNAcentral's name for it is "partial 16S ribosomal RNA". It matches the Rfam family "Bacterial small subunit ribosomal RNA", at positions 97 to 619 of the family's 1533-position model. The record is from RNAcentral.